RNAcentral lists this non-coding RNA (166 nucleotides) under marine eukaryotic metagenome. The record is from RNAcentral.
CACGGCGACGUGGAAUCUGAUGGAAGCCGGAGGCAAAGUCUCGGCCCGAGGAACACGAACCGCAUAUGAGGGUGACUUGGGGUGGACGAGUUUGCUGAAUAAAACGAAGUCUAACACUGCCCGAACCCCAUACAGUAAAUGCGGUGAGUAUAUGGGAUGAAGGCUG